GAUGAUGAUGAUGAUGAUGAUGAUGAUGAUGAUGAAGAUACAUGCAUGCAUCUACAUAUAUAUGGCAGCAGCUGAUAGACGUUUUCUCAAUUGCAGUUUCAUCACUUUUUUAUCGGGGGCCAGGACGAUAAACGUCACGGUCCCCCCACUGGGGGAAGUCAAGGACAGGCGCCAGAGAAUCGCUCCACAGCACCCUUCACCCAAGCACAAAGCAUUGGGUGGAGCAAGGCUCGAACACGCGACCUCCAUGAAACUCUUGGGGAUCCGGUACCACUAGGCCAUUAGGCCGGUGGUAACCCAUUGGCAAUUUGAAAAAAAAAAAGUUUAUUUUCCAUUAUCAAUAAACACUCCUUUUGAAUUGUGAAUAAUUGGAACAC
Long non-coding RNA from Dioscorea cayenensis subsp. rotundata (Guinea yam), 377 nucleotides. RefSeq lists it as uncharacterized. Lineage: Eukaryota; Viridiplantae; Streptophyta; Magnoliopsida; Dioscoreales; Dioscoreaceae. The transcript is spliced from 3 exons. The record is from RefSeq and is a predicted model, not a curated record.